Molecule: ribosomal RNA, 216 nt
Filed under: Glomeromycotina sp.
Lineage: Eukaryota; Fungi; Glomeromycota
Description: partial small subunit ribosomal RNA
Rfam family: Eukaryotic small subunit ribosomal RNA (bases 40-216)
Source: RNAcentral
GGGUCAGUAGGUUGGUCGUGCCACCGGUACGUACUGGUCUCACUGAUUCCUCCUUCCUGAAGAACCGUAAUGCCAUUAAUUUGGUGUUGCGGGGAAUCUGGACUGUUACUUUGAAAAAAUUAGAGUGUUUAAAGCAGGCUAACGCUUGAAUACAUUAGCAUGGAAUAAUGAAAUAGGACGAUCGAUCCUAUUUUGUUGAUUUCUAGGAUUGACGUA